GUUAUUGGUAGUAGGGCUUUCCUCCAUGCGUGGCUUAUCUAUUUACCUUUUUCUUCAAAAGGAGGAGUGCAAAUAAAAGUAGUUCCUUUGCCCUUUCUCUUUCGCUAUAAAGCUUCAGAAAAAAAAGAAAAAAAAGAAGUUUUUGAUUGGUUUGUGCUCGUACUUGCCGCUGCUAGAUACCUACUUAUCUAAAUCAAACAAGGCUUGGAGGGGAUGAAUAUGAACCCUCUUUUCCCCUUCCAAGAUGGCUCCACAGUACUUUGGAUAUUGCCUUUGUAGGCCACCAUUUUUCUUUUCUGUCAUAAAUUUCUUUAUACAGUAUUCUGAUAUUGACCCACUUCUUUCUUUCUUCUUUGCACAACAAUGUAUACAUGAAAGUGUCAAAUCUAUAACUACAAAUUUUAUGUUAGUUACACUCUUUUUGAUCUUAUAUU
Cucumis melo (muskmelon) is the source of this 434-nucleotide long non-coding RNA. RefSeq lists it as uncharacterized. The transcript has 2 exons. The record is from RefSeq and is a predicted model, not a curated record. Lineage: Eukaryota; Viridiplantae; Streptophyta; Magnoliopsida; Cucurbitales; Cucurbitaceae.